CAGUCGCCGCGGUAAUACGAAGGGGGCUAGCGUUGCUCGGAAUUACUGGGCGUAUAGGGAGCGUAGGCGGAUCGUUUAGUCAGGGGUGAAAUCCCGGGGCUCAACCUCGGAACUGCCUUUGAUACUGGCGAUCUUGAGUAUGGGAGAGGUGUGUGGAACUCCGAGUGUAGAGGUGAAAUUCGUAGAUAUUCGGAAGAACACCAGUGGCGAAGGCGACACACUGGCCCAUUGCUGACGCUGAGGCUCGAAAGCGUGGGGAGCAAACAGGAUUAGAGACCCCCGUAGUCCCUGUCUCUUAUAC
RNAcentral lists this ribosomal RNA (301 nucleotides) under uncultured bacterium. RNAcentral describes it as "partial 16S ribosomal RNA". It matches the Rfam family "Bacterial small subunit ribosomal RNA", at positions 509 to 807 of the family's 1533-position model. The record is from RNAcentral.